AUUUCAUCAAUUGAGAAUGGGUCAGUGAGAAAUUUUGGGCAUGAAUUAACAGAAUUAAACUGUUUGUCAUCAAAAGGUGAGUGUACAAAAUCAGGAGUAUAUUUGCGUAAAAAAUCAUUGACCCAUGAUAUAUCUUUAAAAUGAUUUUGACGAUGUUUUGAAUUUAGUUUUCUCAUAUUUUGCCAAACAGUGGAAAUUGGUGUUAAUCUAUUAAAUUUGGAACAAAAUUCCUGCCACCCCUGUUGUCUUACUUGCUUAAUUACUAACUUUUUAACAGCUUGAACUCUUUUAAAAUUUAUGUAAUUAUCGAGAGUUGGAUUUUGUUUAAACCUAAGGUAAGCCGCUUUACUAUCAUUGACAGCUGUCGCACACCUGUUAUUCCACCAAGGUACUGCAAUAUGUUUGUGCCUCUUUGAAGUAUUUGCACCGCUAUUUGAUAAGUUCCUACGUGGAACGGAACGUUCCACAGCUGUCAAAAUAAUUUUACAGAACCUAUUGUAAUUGUUUAAGGGUUCAUUGACAUCAUACUCGAAAUCCAAAAGUAAUCGAUUAACAGUUUCAGAAUAAAGAUCCCAAUUAACGAGACGUAGGUUUAUACGAUUUAACAAAAGUUUAUUAACUUCAUCUAUAGGAGCAUGUUGUUCACCUGACGGAGUUGAUGAAGAGUUCUUUGUGUUUAUUUUAGUAAAAGUCGGCAGAUGCUGCAACGCUCAGAAUUCUUACAGAAUUUAGCUAAAUGUCCAUACCUCAAGCACCGGUAGCAUUGUUUAACUGGUGGUAUAUAUGGAGUGACAUUGUGGCGCCAACCUCCAAUAUCCAGAUAUUCAGGUAAUACAGAUGCAGCAAAAGUAAUUGUCACGGUUAGAGUUGGCUGUAACACAUAUCCAUGAGUCAAGGUAUUUUUUCUUAAAAUUCUUUUAAUAGCAAUAAUUUUCUUAGAACUCGAUAUCAUAGUAUAUAUUUUUUUAUUAGAUAUAUUUGUAGGUACAUUUCUAAUAACGCCUGUAACUUCUGUUGAAGAAGCAGGAAUACUGGCCUUAAAAUGGUAGUCAUUUAAAAAAGUUUUAUUAUUUAAAAAAGCAUUGGCUAAGUCUGGCUUUUGAAAGUAUACUCCGAUUUUGAAUUUAUUUAUAGAUCUAAGAUAAGUUACCCCUUUAUUAAAUCGUUUUAAACAGGAGGAGAGUGAGAGCAAGUCUCUGGAUCCAAUGGUUUUCUGACUAUCUGAGGAUUCUACAAAGACAACAAAUUCUGUCCCAGGGGAUUCCUCGGGAUAUCUUCUAAUAUAAUCUGUGACGUAGUAAGGUUUAUACUUAUCGGCCUUAUCAAUUUCAGAUUCUGAGUCAGUAGAAGUAUCUUCCGAAUAUAUAUCCUUGUCAUUACAAGGUUCAUGGUCUACAUCACCUGAAUCGUCAUCUUUUUUUUUCCUUUUUCUACAACUGCGCUUCCCCAUGAAUGCUAAUUAUAUUACUGUCGCUGAAUUUAGUGAAAAUAUAAUAUUUUAUUAAAUAAUAAGAAUUGAUAGAGAUAGUUUUAAUAAAUUAAUAAAAAAAAUUUAAAAAA
Galleria mellonella (greater wax moth) is the source of this 1560-nucleotide long non-coding RNA. RefSeq lists it as uncharacterized. Lineage: Eukaryota; Metazoa; Arthropoda; Insecta; Lepidoptera; Pyralidae. The record is from RefSeq and is a predicted model, not a curated record. The transcript has 2 exons.